RNAcentral lists this microRNA precursor (63 nucleotides) under Parasteatoda tepidariorum (common house spider). Its description in RNAcentral is "microRNA pte-mir-29b precursor". Its record names the gene pte-mir-29b. The record is from miRBase by way of RNAcentral. Lineage: Eukaryota; Metazoa; Arthropoda; Arachnida; Araneae; Theridiidae.
CUGAUCUCAGAUGGUGGAUAGAUGGAUCAUUGGGAAAUGUCUAGCACCAUUUGAAAUCAGCGC